AUGCCACCAGCGACCCCGCCGUCGCCGCCGCCGGCGACGAGGCCGCCGCAGAGGCUGCAGGAGAGGGGGAUGGGAGGCCACCAAGCUCCCCAUCAGGCGCACUGCCCAGGACAACGAGAUCAGGUGAUGCAACAGCAAACUUACCAGACUUACGCCGCCGCCGAGAGAUCCGAAUCCAGCCAUCGACCGACGAGGACGCGGCCACCGACCGGCCCCGGCCACCAGGAGUGA
RNAcentral lists this ribosomal RNA (231 nucleotides) under Triticum aestivum (bread wheat). Its description in RNAcentral is "partial small subunit ribosomal RNA". Lineage: Eukaryota; Viridiplantae; Streptophyta; Magnoliopsida; Poales; Poaceae. The record is from RNAcentral.